UACGAAGGGGGCUAGCGUUGUUCGGAAUUACUGGGCGUAAAGGGCUCGUAGGCGGCCAACUAAGUCGGACGUGAAAUCCCUCGGCUUAACCGGGGAACUGCGUCCGAUACUGGAUGGCUUGAGGUUGGGAGAGGGAUGCGGAAUUCCAGGUGUAGCGGUGAAAUGCGUAGAUAUCUGGAGGAACACCGGUGGCGAAGGCGGCAUCCUGGACCAAUUCUGACGCUGAGGAGCGAAAGCCAGGGGAGCAAACGGG
This 253-nucleotide ribosomal RNA is filed under the name uncultured bacterium. RNAcentral's name for it is "partial 16S ribosomal RNA". It matches the Rfam family "Bacterial small subunit ribosomal RNA", at positions 524 to 776 of the family's 1533-position model. The record is from RNAcentral.